GCACAUAAUGUAUGCCAAGACAAAUGAUACCAGUGAUCCCUUUGGUAUUAAGUGUGGUCUAUCAGGUCGCAGCAGCGCCAACCUUGUUUUCGGGGAUGCAUACAAUCUGUAUGUUACACCAGUAACCCAGAUUCCAGGUCAAGCUCCUGUACUAAGAUGGUUUUCUGCAAAUGUAGUGGCAGAAGUGUCUCAUUCUGCAAGACUAGAGUGUGUUUUCAGUGGGUAUGACCCAUUACAGCCAUUACCAACAAUUACAUGGAGCUUAGAGGAUGGCACAGUAAUAAGCACUAACCAAAAGUACAAUGUAUCAUCAAAUGGAAGAUGUCUCAUAAUCUACAAGUUAUCAGAACAAGACGAAAUAACUUAUAGCUGCCAGGCGAGAAAUACCAUAGGAGAAAGUGAGACACAUCCAGUUUUUCUUAACAUCACCAGUAAGUG
This is a long non-coding RNA of Biomphalaria glabrata, 438 nucleotides long. RefSeq lists it as uncharacterized. The transcript has 3 exons. The record is from RefSeq and is a predicted model, not a curated record. Lineage: Eukaryota; Metazoa; Mollusca; Gastropoda; Planorbidae.